RNAcentral lists this small nuclear RNA (82 nucleotides) under Chinchilla lanigera (long-tailed chinchilla). Its description in RNAcentral is "U4 spliceosomal RNA (ENSCLAG00000020540.1)". It matches the Rfam family "U4 spliceosomal RNA", at positions 1 to 80 of the family's 138-position model. From Rfam's summary of the family: U4 small nuclear RNA (U4 snRNA) is a component of the major U2-dependent spliceosome. The structure of U4 snRNA from yeast and human has been reported. U4 snRNA presents a k-turn RNA motif in the 5p-SL related to recognition of Snu13 protein. Lineage: Eukaryota; Metazoa; Chordata; Mammalia; Rodentia; Chinchillidae. The record is from RNAcentral.
AACUUUGCACAGUGGCAGUAUCAUAGUGAAUGAGAUUUACCAUAGGUGUGAUUAUUGCUAAUUGAAAACUUUUCUACCAAUU